This 468-nucleotide ribosomal RNA is filed under the name uncultured bacterium. Its description in RNAcentral is "partial 16S ribosomal RNA". It matches the Rfam family "Bacterial small subunit ribosomal RNA", at positions 28 to 507 of the family's 1533-position model. The record is from RNAcentral.
GACGAACGCUGGCGGCGUGCUUAGCACAUGCAAGUCGAACGGAAAGGCCCUGCUUUUGUGGGGUGCUCGAGUGGCGAACGGGUGAGUAACACGUGAGUAACCUGCCCUUGACUUUGGGAUAACUUCAGGAAACUGGGGCUAAUACCGGAUAGGAGAUCCCGCUGCAUGGUGGGGGUUGGAAAGUUUCGGCGGUUGGGGAUGGACUCGGGGCUUAUCAGCUUGUUGGGGGGGUGGGGGCUUACCAAGGCAUUGACGGGUAGCCGGCCUGAGAGGGUGACCGGCCACGUUGGGACUGGGAUGCGGCCCAGACUCCAACGGGAGGCAACGGUGGGGAGUAUUGCACAAUGGGCGGAAGCCUGAUGCAACAACGCCGCGUGCGGGAUGACGGCCUUCGGGUUGUAAACCGCUUUCGCCUGUGACGAAGCGUGAGUGACGGUAAUGGGUAAAGAAGCACCGGCUAACUACGUG